Long non-coding RNA from Leopardus geoffroyi (Geoffroy's cat), 302 nucleotides. RefSeq lists it as uncharacterized. Lineage: Eukaryota; Metazoa; Chordata; Mammalia; Carnivora; Felidae. The transcript has 3 exons. The record is from RefSeq and is a predicted model, not a curated record.
GGAGCCCGAUGCAGAGCUUGAUCCCACGACCCUGAGAUCAUGACCUGAGCCAAAAUCAAGAGUUGGAUGCUCAACCGAGCCACCCAGGUGCCCCAACAAGGACUUGUUACAAAGGAAAUGCCGUCGUCUGGAGCACCUCUUUGAGGGUGGGUCUCCCGGGCAGGCCCGCCUCUGCAUCCUGUCCCCUGACCCCCCACUCACUUCCUGACAUCCCAUGCCAGCUGAGGCUGACGCGGCCCCCCACUGUCCCAGGGGAGGAAACCGAGGCCCACAGAACCCGGAGAAUGUUGGCUCGAGGCAGG